GAUUCUUACACUAGGUUGGUGUCUAAAACAUUGCCUUUUUCACUGUGUUUCUUGAUAGUUUUCGAUUCUUGAACCUCUUGAAUUUUCCUGAUAAGAUUGCAAUGUAUGUCAAAAUAACGUGAAAAUACGUGAAAAACGAUGAAAAUGGACAAAAAAUCUCAAUGGGGUCAGGUUGGGGUUCCGGCACGGCGGCGACACGUGCUCCACCGCUGGGUCCUCCUCCUCAAGCAGCUCUUCCUCUUGGUCAUACCAGUUUCGACCGAUUCUUGGUGAAAAUUUAUUUAAAUCAUGGUUAUGGGGUGUUUCUCGGCAAAAAGAGGAGAAAAACAGGUGCUUAUCGGUGAUUUUGGUUUUUUGGUACGGCGACUCAGCCGAGCUCCGCCAUUCCUCCCUUGUGGUUUGCGGCUUGUUUUGGUCACCCUCCAUUGGAAACGUGUUAGGUGGCUAAAGGGUGGAGAAAUGGGAAGAAUGGGAAGAAAAUACGGUUUAUCGAAGCAUUUUUCAGUCUUUGGUGUGGCGGUGCAACUGUGCUCCGCCACCUCUUUCUCGUGGGUCACGGUCCUCCUUGGUUUUUUCCUGCAUUAGGUUUAGUUUAAACCACCUAGGGUGAGAAGAUAGAAAG
This 622-nucleotide long non-coding RNA is filed under the name Carica papaya (papaya). Its description in RNAcentral is "long non-coding RNA (CPAP_LNC009958)". Lineage: Eukaryota; Viridiplantae; Streptophyta; Magnoliopsida; Brassicales; Caricaceae. The record is from RNAcentral.